Long non-coding RNA from Rosa rugosa (rugosa rose), 2003 nucleotides. RefSeq lists it as uncharacterized. The record is from RefSeq and is a predicted model, not a curated record. Lineage: Eukaryota; Viridiplantae; Streptophyta; Magnoliopsida; Rosales; Rosaceae. The transcript is spliced from 6 exons.
AAAAACAAAAACACUCGCUCUCAUCUCUCAUCUCUCAUCUCUCUCUCACUCCGUCUGCCUCUUCUCAAUUGUCGCCCACAUCGCUCUCUCUCCUCUCUUUUGUUCUUUCUGGGCAAUUCUCAGGAUUGGUCCAUCUUCCGAUGAUGGGUGGGUUUCGAUCAUUUCCGUCGUUCAAAGAUUCAUUCUUUCUUUUCACUGGUUGUUAUCUCAGUACUUAAUCUAUUCUUUUAGCUUUGUUUUAUCUCAAUUUCAUAUUGUUCCCUUGUCUAUAUGCAUUUGUUGAUGUGUAUAUUGCUCAAUUUCACAGCUUUUGCAUGUCCUGUGUGAUUUUGGACUCUGAUUUUCAUAUGGUUUUUGGGUGUGCACUGGAAAACUAGUUCACAAGGUCCAAUGACUAGCUAGGCAUAAAUUGACUAUGCUAGGAAUCCAAUCAGAUGAUGAACCACAGUUUACUUAGGUAAAUAUUUGUCUUUUAUAUAUGUUAACCAGGUUAAUCAUUUGUUUUUUGCACAAUAAGAUGGCCAAAGGGUAAGUUGGAGUUCUCUAAGGACUGGAAAGCCAAAUCCGAUUGCCACCUUGGAGAGAAUUAAGCGCAAUUAUAAUGAGUGGUUGGAAACGAUCAACUGUAAUGAAGCUCAAAUUGAUGAUCGAACUGGGAAUGAGCCACCCUCUCAUGCCAGUCAGCAUAAUUGGCAACCCCCUCCCCACCCAUUUGUGAAAAUCAAUGUCGAUGGUGCCUGGGAUGAAACCAACCAUACAAGUGGGGUGGGAGUAAUCAUUAGAAAUCAUAGAGGUUUCUCUAUUGUAGGUGCAAGUCUACAUGGGAACCACAACUCUUCCAUAGAAGUGGAAGCGGAUGCAGUGGUAAAAGGUCUUCAGUUUGCAGCCCAUUUGAAGCUUAAAAAUAUCAUUAUGGAAGGUGACUGUCUUGAGAUCAUCAGGGCCUUGGAGAAUCAAGCCAACCAUCACAGUUGGAAGAUCUCUCCCAUAGGGUUUACCUUCGUUCACUGGAAUCAGAUGGAGCUGGAUCCCCAGAGAAGCUAACCGUGUUGCGGAUGCAGCGGCUAAGCUUGCUAAAAUGAGGUUGUGCUCACAGGAUUGGGCUAAUAGGCCCCCAACCUUCCUCCUGUCUAUUUUGAGAAGUGAUGGUCUUCCUGGCCCUCCCUAACUAUCCAUCAGUUUGCUACAGUUUGUUUCUGUUUUGUUAGUAGGUUCUAGUUGUAGGUUCCAUCUUAUGUGUUUGUCUCCUUUCUUUCCCUGUAAGUCUUGCCUUUCUGGCCUUUGCAAUGAAUUUUUCUUCAGACAAGAAAAAAAAGGGGGUAAGUUGGAGUUCAUAGAUGUACAAGUACAACUUUGCUUAACUUAGCUGAGUCAGAUGCAUUUUGUUGCCGACUUGCCUUUUUAUGAUGACUCGUUUAGUGUUAUUGUGUGCUUCAACUUAGACUAAUUAUACUCGAGUUACUGAAGUUGGAAACUUUAUACUUAAAGUCUGUGCUUGUGAAUUCCAUUUGUUUCUACAAUUACUUCAUAUCAUGUGGCAUAUGAUCCAUUUCCUGCCUUACAGGUUUGACUAGGAGUUUAACAAUGAAGUUGCAACUCAAGUAAUCUAGCUAUUUGCAAGAUUUGGAAUUAACCUAGUGGAAAAGUUUGAAGUUGAAGGUGGUGUUAUAUUCAUGGCAGCUCCAGUCAAUCUGUUGCAACUGGAUUUCAGAAUUUUCAAAAGUUAAAGUUGUCACCGGAGCUUAACCAGAAGUUGAAGUUGUCACCGGAUCUUAACCAGAAGUUGAAGUCAUUUAGUAGAAGUUGGUUUAUAGAGGUAGAGAAGUUGAAGUUAUUUAGUAGAAGUUGGUUUAUAGAGGUAGAAAUGCUCUAGUCAUGAUAACGAGGCCAUCAUAUAUUCCUUGGUGAAAUAUUUCUUUACUUGUUCCAGUGUGUAAGUCUUUGGAUUGCUGGUUUGAUGAACUUCGUUGGAGUUAUUUUGCUAUGUAUUGCUGUUUGGUAUG